This 1200-nucleotide ribosomal RNA is filed under the name metagenome. RNAcentral describes it as "bacterial SSU rRNA". It matches the Rfam family "Bacterial small subunit ribosomal RNA", at positions 75 to 1249 of the family's 1533-position model. The record is from RNAcentral.
CCUGCUUGCAGGUUCGAGUAGAGUGGCGCCCGGGUGAGUAACGCGUGGAUAAUCUACCUUUGGAUCUGGGAUAACAUUGCGAAAGCGGUGCUAAUACCGGAUAAAAUCGUUAUUACUGCGGUAGAAACGAUGAAAGGCCGCCAAUCCUUGGAAGCGGUUGUUUGAAGAUGAGUCCGCGUACCAUUAGCUAGUAGGUGGGGUAAAAGCCUACCUAGGCGACGAUGGUUAGCUGGUCUGAGAGGAUGAUCAGCCACACUGGAACUGACACACGGUCCAGACUCCUACGGGAGGCAGCAGUGAGGAAUUUUGCGCAAUGGGGUAACCCCUGACGCAGCAACGCCGCGUGAGUGAUGAAGGCUUUUGGGUCGUAAAACUCUGUCAAUGGGAAAGAAAUUAUUGUUGGCUAAUAACCAAUAGUAUUGACGGUACCCAUGAAGGAAGCACCGGCUAACUCCGUGCCAGCAGCCGCGGUAAUACGGGGGGUGCAAGCGUUAUUCGGAAUUAUUGGGCGUAAAGAGCGCGUAGGCGGUAUUAUAGGUCAGAUGUGAAAGUUCAGGGCUCACCCCUGAAAGUGCAUUUGAAACCAUAAUACUUGAGUAUGGGAGAGGGAAGUGGAAUUCCAGGUGUAGAGGUGAAAUUCGUAGAUAUCUGGAGGAACACCGGUGGCGAAGGCGACUUCCUGGACCAAUACUGACGCUGAGGCGCGAAGGCGUGGGUAGCGAACAGGAUUAGAUACCCUGGUAGUCCACGCAGUAAACGUUGUACACUAGGUGUAGCGGGUAUUGACCCCUGCUGUGCCGCAGCAAACGCAUUAAGUGUACCGCCUGGGGAGUACGAUCGCAAGAUUAAAACUCAAAGGAAUUGACGGGGGCCCGCACAAGCGGUGGAGCACGUGGUUUAAUUCGACGCAACGCGAAGAACCUUACCUGGAUUUGACAUCUUGGGAAUACCUUAGAAAUUUGGUAGUGCCUUUCGGGGAGCCCAAAGACAGGUGCUGCAUGGCUGUCGUCAGCUCGUGUCGUGAGAUGUUGGGUUAAGUCCCGCAACGAGCGCAACCCUUAUCUUUAGUUACCAUCAUUAGUUGGGGACUCUAGAGAUACUGCCCCGGUUAACGGGGAGGAAGGUGGGGAUGACGUCAAGUCCUCAUGGCCUUUAUAUCCAGGGCUACACACGUGCUACAAUGGUAUGUACAAAGAGGUU